UAGAAACAUUACAAAUUCAAACAGCAUUAAAGCAAAAACAUGUUUCUCCAAGCACUCCCUUUUCCGUUAGAACUAAUGUAACCAAUUGCCACUGUUUCACCAAACCUAACUGAAAAAUAAUUUAAAGGAAAGCAGAAGGAUAAUAAAUCCCAU
Molecule: long non-coding RNA, 153 nt
Organism: Oxyura jamaicensis (ruddy duck)
Lineage: Eukaryota; Metazoa; Chordata; Aves; Anseriformes; Anatidae
Exons: 3
Source: RefSeq, a predicted model, not a curated record